UACGUAGGGGCCGAGCGUUGUCCGGAGUUACUGGGCGUAAAGCGCGCGCAGGCGGCUCGUCAAGCCUGACGUGAAAGCCCCCCGGCUCAACCGGGGGGGGUCGUCGGGGACUGGCGGGCUUGAGGUCGGCAGGGGUUGGUGGAAUUCCCGGUGUAGUGGUGAAAUGCGUAGAGAUCGGGAGGAAUACCGAUGGCGAAGGCAGGUCUCUGGGCUGACACUGACGCUCAUGCACGGAAGCGUGGGGAGCAAACAGG
Molecule: ribosomal RNA, 254 nt
Filed under: uncultured bacterium
Lineage: Bacteria
Description: partial 16S ribosomal RNA
Rfam family: Bacterial small subunit ribosomal RNA
Source: RNAcentral